AUGUUAGCAAAGCAGUGUUGGCGACUGAUCCGAAAUCCGGACUCUUUGUGUGCGCGUGUUCUGAGUGCAAAGUAUUACCCAGAUGGUAACAUUCUUAAUGCCGGCCCUAAGAAGGGUUCUUCAUACACUUGGCAGAGCAUUGUGGCGGGAAUCCAAACUUUUAAAAGGGGUUUCAUUUGGAGAGUAGGUACAGGCUCAAAGAUCAAUAUCUGGUAUGACCCUUGGAUCCCUUCAAGUGCAUCACGGAAAGUUAUAACGCCAAGAGGGCAGAUUAUGUUAUCCAAAGUAGAAGAGCUAAUCGACCCGCAUUCGGGUCAGUGGGAUGAAGAUCUGCUACUAUCUGUCUUUAGUCCGAUAGAUGCUGAACGGAUACUAAGAAUUCCUCUUAAUGUAGGGAACGUUGAGGAUUUCGUGGCAUGGCAUUACACAAGGUCUGGGACGUUUUCAGUCUGUUCAUCGUAUCAUGCAGAAUUUAAUCAUCAAUAUAAUUCGCGUUCGACUCUUGCUGAUGGUCAAGGCGGGGCUCAAAUAAAUGGUAUCUGGAAGGACACUUGGAGGCUUAGAGUUCCUGGAAAAAUCAAACACUUCACGUGGAAAGUUUUGAGGGGUAUCUUGCCCUGCUACGGAGUUCUUGCGAGGCGCCAUAUUCCUGUCACCGGCUAGUGCCCGUUCUGCAAGGUGGGCUUCGAAGAUAUUCAGCAUUGCCUGUUUACUUGCUGUCGUGCAGUGGAGGUUUGGACGGAAUUAGGACUGAAUCAAGUGAUCUACCAGGCAGUGAUGGAGGACCGAUCAGGAUCAGUGACCAUGGAAAUCCUAUAA
Molecule: ribosomal RNA, 819 nt
Filed under: Triticum aestivum (bread wheat)
Lineage: Eukaryota; Viridiplantae; Streptophyta; Magnoliopsida; Poales; Poaceae
Description: partial small subunit ribosomal RNA
Source: RNAcentral